Molecule: long non-coding RNA, 215 nt
Filed under: Elaeis guineensis (African oil palm)
Lineage: Eukaryota; Viridiplantae; Streptophyta; Magnoliopsida; Arecales; Arecaceae
Description: long non-coding RNA (EGUI_LNC063593)
Source: RNAcentral
CCUUUAUAUUGACUCCCCGACCUUUCUUGCAGAUUGGGCACCAGCUUGUCGCCAACGUCGAGGCGGUGAAGAUCGCCAAGAGGGAGGUAGCUUGAGCGAAGGAAGGUCGCCUGGCUGGGGCCGCCCACCUCGAGGAGAAGAUCGCUGAGACCCUAAGUCUCCAAGAGGCACUGGAAAAGGAGGGACAAACCUCGUCCGAUCUGAGGACCGCCUUG